AGUGAACGCUGGCUGCGUGCUUAAUUCAUGCAAGUCGAACGAUGAAGCUUCUCGUUUUCUAGUGGUGGAGUAGCGGCUCACGUGUGUUUAAUAUAUAGUUCAUCUGCUUUUCACUGAGGAACAACAGUUAGAAAUGAUUUCUAAUACCUCAUACUCUACAUUAGCAUUAUUUUUCUUUGAAAAGUCUUUUCGGUGCAAGAUGAGACGAUAUCGUAUCAGCUAGUUGGUAAGGUAAUGGCUUACCCAGGCUAUGACGCGUAACUUGACUGAGAGGAUGGUCAGUCACAUUGGGAUUGAGACACGGUCCAAAUUCCUACGGGAGGGAGCAGUAAGGAAUAUUGUGCAAUGGGGGAAGCCCUGACGCAGCAACGGCGCGUGGAGGAUGACACUUUUCGGAGCGUAAACUCCUUUUGUUAAGGAAGAAUAAUGACGGUACCUAAUGAAUAAGCACCGGCUAACUCCGUG
This 465-nucleotide ribosomal RNA is filed under the name uncultured bacterium. RNAcentral's name for it is "partial 16S ribosomal RNA". It matches the Rfam family "Bacterial small subunit ribosomal RNA", at positions 29 to 507 of the family's 1533-position model. The record is from RNAcentral.